Molecule: ribosomal RNA, 301 nt
Filed under: uncultured bacterium
Lineage: Bacteria
Description: partial 16S ribosomal RNA
Rfam family: Bacterial small subunit ribosomal RNA
Source: RNAcentral
CAGCAGCCGCGGGAAUACGAAGGGGGCUAGCGUUGUUCGGAAUUACUGGGCGUAAAGCGCACGUAGGCGGAUAUUUAAGUCAGGGGUGAAAUCCCGCAGCUCAACUGCGGAACUGCCUUUGAUACUGGGUAUCUUGAGUAUGGAAGAGGUUAGUGGAAUUGCGAGUGUAGAGGUGAAAUUCGUAGAUAUUCGCAGGAACACCAGUGGCGAAGGCGGCUAACUGGUCCAUAACUGACGCUGAGGUGCGAAAGCGUGGGGAGCAAACAGGAUUAGAUACCCCCGUAGUCCCUGUCUCUUAUAA